UUGUGCACAUGCAGUCAUAGUGCACACACCCCUUUCACACCCAUCCUCUUCUAGCUGAAAUAGACACAGAUACACUUUUGCUGUUCAGAGACUCAACCCUAUUCAACAUGAACAAAGCUCUGGUCUGUGCUGUCUUCAUCUUUCUGGUGUUUUCUGUGUUCACAGAAGCCAUAGAGGGGAAUACUAAAACCCCAAAGGACAAGGUGAAUGCAACGAACGCCCCAAACAAGGCAUCGGGGGCAAGCACCUUGACACUUCCGUUUUUGCUGCAGUUGGGACUGAUGGUUGCACCUGCCUUACUUCAAACUCUGCUGUAGCACUUGCUAUGCUCUCCUUCCACAAGACUCUGCAGAACUUCUGCAAGAACGGGGGCAACAACAUAACAAUAGCUUUAAUGACUAGGCCUACUAUAUUUACCUGUACUGUAGACCCUAGCUGACCCGUUUCCAUGACUGAACACCAUGAUAUUCUUAACCCAAAUGACCUUGUAAUAAUCAUACAGAAACAGAAAUAAAGUUGUGUAUCUACA
Long non-coding RNA from Salmo salar (Atlantic salmon), 529 nucleotides. RefSeq lists it as uncharacterized. The record is from RefSeq and is a predicted model, not a curated record. NCBI's taxonomy places the organism in Eukaryota, Metazoa, Chordata, Actinopteri, Salmoniformes, Salmonidae.